AUUGAACGCUGGCGGCAUGCCUUACACAUGCAAGUCGAACGGCAGCGGGGGAGAAGCUUGCUUUUCCUGCCGGCGAGUGGCGAACGGGUGAGUAAUACAUCGGAACGUGCCCUGUAGUGGGGGAUAACUAGUCGAAAGAUUAGCUAAUGCCGCAUACGACCUGAGGGUGAAAGUGGGGGACCGCAAGGCCUCAUGCUAUAGGAGCGGCCGAUGUCUGAUUAGCUAGUUGGUGGGGUAAAGGCCUACCAAGGCGACGAUCAGUAGCUGGUCUGAGAGGACGAUCAGCCACACUGGGACUGGGACACGGCCCAGACUCCUACGGGAGGCAGCAGUGGGGAAUUUUGGACAAUGGGCGUAAGCCUGAUCCAGCAAUGCCGCGUGUGUGAAGAAGGCCUUCGGGUUGCAAAGCACUUUUGUCCGGAAAGAAAUGGCUCUGGUUAAUACCUGGGGUCGAUGACGGUACCGGAAGAAUAAGGACCGGCUAACUACGUGCCAGCCGCCGCCGUAA
This 508-nucleotide ribosomal RNA is filed under the name uncultured bacterium. RNAcentral describes it as "partial 16S ribosomal RNA". It matches the Rfam family "Bacterial small subunit ribosomal RNA", at positions 30 to 523 of the family's 1533-position model. The record is from RNAcentral.